RNAcentral lists this unclassified non-coding RNA (181 nucleotides) under fungal sp. Its description in RNAcentral is "partial internal transcribed spacer region". The stretch from base 1 to 46 matches the Rfam family "Eukaryotic small subunit ribosomal RNA", at positions 1786 to 1831 of the family's 1831-position model. Lineage: Eukaryota; Fungi. The record is from RNAcentral.
AAGUCGUAACAAGGUUUCCGUAGGUGAACCUGCGGAAGGAUCAUUAAUAACAUAGCAAACCGAGCGUUAGCGAGGUUCUGCGAUCAAAAUUGUAUUUAAAACCCAACACUUUUGAAUCAAUAUUUUUUUAUGUAUCUUAAAUAAUAAAAGAUCACUUUCAACAACGGAUCUCUUGGUUCUC